AUUGAACGCUGGCGGCAUGCCUUACACAUGCAAGUCGAACGGCAGCACGGGUGCUUGCACCUGGUGGCGAGUGGCGAACGGGUGAGUAAUACAUCGGAACAUGUCCUGUAGUGGGGGAUAGCCCGGCGAAAGCCGGAUUAAUACCGCAUACGAUCUACGGAUGAAAGCGGGGGACCUUCGGGCCUCGCGCCAUAGGGUUGGCCGAUGGCUGAUUAGCUAGUUGGUGGGGUAAAGGCCUACCAAGGCGACGAUCAGUAGCUGGUCUGAGAGGACGACCAGCCACACUGGGACUGAGACACGGCCCAGACUCCUACGGGAGGCAGCAGUGGGGAAUUUUGGACAAUGGGCGAAAGCCUGAUCCAGCAAUGCCGCGUGUGUGAAGAAGGCCUUCGGGUUGUAAAGCACUUUUGUCCGGAAAGAAAUCCUUGGCCCUAAUACGGUCGGGGGAUGACGGUACCGGAAGAAUAAGCACCGGCUAACUACGUG
RNAcentral lists this ribosomal RNA (486 nucleotides) under uncultured bacterium. RNAcentral's name for it is "partial 16S ribosomal RNA". It matches the Rfam family "Bacterial small subunit ribosomal RNA", at positions 30 to 507 of the family's 1533-position model. The record is from RNAcentral.